Molecule: ribosomal RNA, 459 nt
Filed under: uncultured bacterium
Lineage: Bacteria
Description: partial 16S ribosomal RNA
Rfam family: Bacterial small subunit ribosomal RNA
Source: RNAcentral
CCUACGGGAGGCAGCAGUGAGGAAUAUUGGUCAAUGGCCGAAAGGCUGAACCAGCCAAGCCGCGUGAAGGACGAAGGUGCCACGCAUUGUAAACUUCUUUUGUCAAGGGACAAAAUCAGCCUCGAGAGCCUGAUCGAGGGUACUUGAAGAAAAAGCAUCGGCUAACUCCGUGCCAGCAGCCGCGGUAAUACGGAGGAUGCGAGUGUUAUCCGGAUUUAUUGGGUUUAAAGGGUGCGUAGGCGGAGGGUUAAGUCAGCGGUAAAAGUCCGGGGCUCAACCCCGGAGAGCCGUUGAAACUGGCUGUCUUGAGAUGUCGAGAGGUAUGCGGAAUGCGCAGUGUAGCGGUGAAAUGCUUAGAUAUUGCGCAGAACUCCGAUUGCGAAGGCAGCAUACCGGCGGGGAACUGACGCUGAGGCACGAAAGCGUGGGUAUCGAACAGGAUUAGAUACCCCAGUAGUC